AGUGAACGCUGGCGGUAUGCCUAACACAUGCAAGUCGAACGGCAGCACAGUAAGAGCUUGCUCUUACGGGUGGCGAGUGGCGGACGGGUGAGGAAUACAUCGGAAUCUACUUUUUCGUGGGGGAUAACGUAGGGAAACUUACGCUAAUACCGCAUACUACCUACGGGUGAAAUCAGGGGAUCUUCGGACCUUGCGCGAUUGAAUUAGCCGAUGUCGGAUUACCUAGUUGGCAAGGUAAAGGCCCACCAAGGCGACGAUACGUAGCUGAUCUGAGAGGAUGAGCGGCAACACUGGAACUGAGACACGGUCCAGACUACGACGGGAGGCAGCAGUAGGGAAUCUUACGCAAUGGGCGAAGGCCUGACGGAGCAACGCCGCGUGAGUGAUGAAGGUCUUCGGAUCGUAAAACUCUGUUAUUAGGGAAGAACAAACGUGUAAGUAACUGUGCACGUCUUGACGGGACCUAAUCAGAAAGCCACGGCUAACUACGUG
RNAcentral lists this ribosomal RNA (492 nucleotides) under uncultured bacterium. RNAcentral describes it as "partial 16S ribosomal RNA". It matches the Rfam family "Bacterial small subunit ribosomal RNA", at positions 29 to 507 of the family's 1533-position model. The record is from RNAcentral.